CUGGGCUCGAAGCGCAGUGGACCGGGGUGGAAACAUCCCUUCCCCUUAAAAGGCUGCUGCGGAGGUACUGCAUGGCUGUCGUCAGCUCGUGUCGUGAGAUGUUGGGUUAAGUCCCGCAACGAGCGCAACCCUUAUCCCUAGUUGCCAUCGGGUCAAGCCGGGCACUCUAGUGAAACUGCCUCGGAUAACGAGGAGGAAGGUGGGGAUGACGUCAAGUCCUCAUGGCCUUUAUGUCCAGGGCUACACACGUGCUACAAUGGUCGGUACAAACCGUCGCAAACCCGCGAGGGGGAGCUAAUCGGAAAAAGCCGGCCUCAGUUCGGAUUGGAGUCUGCAACUCGACUCCAUGAAGCUGGAAUCGCUAGUAAUCGCGGAUCAGAACGCCGCGGUGAAUA
This 395-nucleotide ribosomal RNA is filed under the name uncultured bacterium. RNAcentral describes it as "bacterial SSU rRNA". It matches the Rfam family "Bacterial small subunit ribosomal RNA", at positions 975 to 1368 of the family's 1533-position model. The record is from RNAcentral.